RNAcentral lists this ribosomal RNA (422 nucleotides) under uncultured bacterium. RNAcentral's name for it is "bacterial SSU rRNA". It matches the Rfam family "Bacterial small subunit ribosomal RNA", at positions 355 to 774 of the family's 1533-position model. The record is from RNAcentral.
UAAGGAAUAUUGGACAAUGGAGGCAACUCUGAUCCAGCCAUGCCGCGUGAAGGAAUAAGGCCCUAUGGGUUGUAAACUUCUUUUAGACGGGACAAAACCCCUUUACGUGUAAAGGGUUGAUGGUACUGUCAGAAUAAGCAUCGGCUAACUUCGUGCCAGCAGCCGCGGUAAUACGAAGGAUGCAAGCGUUAUCCGGAAUUAUUGGGUUUAAAGGGUGCGUAGGCGGACUAAUAAGUCAGUGGUGAAAGCCUGCAGCUUAACUGCAGAAUUGCCAAUGAUACUGUUAGUCUUGAGUACAGUUGAGGUAGGCGGAAUGUGUCAUGUAGCGGUGAAAUGCUUAGAUAUGACACAGAACACCGAUUGCGAAGGCAGCUUGCUAAGCUGUAACUGACGCUGAGGCACGAAAGCGUGGGGAGCAAACG